UACGGAGGGUGCAAGCGUUAUCCGGAUUCACUGGGCUUAAAGGGUGCGUAGGCGGGCAGGUAAGUCAGUGGUGAAAUCUCCGAGCUUAACUUGGAAACUGCCGUUGAUACUAUCUGUCUUGAAUAUUGUGGAGGUGAGCGGAAUAUGUCAUGUAGCGGUGAAAUGCUUAGAUAUGACAUAGAACACCAAUUGCGAAGGCAGCUCGCUACACAUAUAUUGACUCUGAGGCACGAAAGCGUGGGGAUCAAACAGG
Molecule: ribosomal RNA, 253 nt
Filed under: uncultured bacterium
Lineage: Bacteria
Description: partial 16S ribosomal RNA
Rfam family: Bacterial small subunit ribosomal RNA
Source: RNAcentral